UUUUUUGAGAAUUUGAUCCUGGUUCAGGAUGAAUGCUGGCGGCGUGCCUUAAGCAUGCAAGUCGAACGGGAAGGUCCGCAAGGACCAACCAGUGGCAGACGGGUGAGUAACGCGUAGGAAUCUACCCCUAGGAGGAGGAUAGCCCACCGAAAGGUGGGGUAAUACUCCAUAGUCUCGUAAGAGUAAAGGACUUAACGGUCCACCAAGGGAGGAGCCUGCGUCCUAUCAGCUAGUUGGCGGGGUAAAGGCCCACCAAGGCGAUGACGGGUAGCUGGACUGAGAGGUCGAUCAGCCACAACUGCACUGAGAUACGGGCAGUACACCUACGGGUGGCAGCAACUGGGAAUAUUGCGCAAUGGACGAAAGUCUGACGCAGCGACGCCGCGUGGAGGAUGAAGGCCUUCGGGUUGUAAACUCCUUUUACUAAGCCGUUCACAGCUUAGAGAAUAAGCUCCUACUAACUACGUGCCAGAAGUCUCGGUAAUACGUAGGGAGCAAGCAUUAUCCGGAUUUAUUGGGCGUAAAGUGUGCGUAGGCGUUCUUCAUAGUCGUUUCUUAAAGACUGGGGCUCAACCCCGGGAGUGGUUACGAUACUGGAAGAAUUGAGGAUUUAUAGGGAAGCUGGAACAGUAUGUGUAGCAGUGAAAUGCGUUGAUAUAUACUGGAACACCGAUGGCGAAGGCAGGCUUCUGGGUAUUUCCUGACGCUGAGGCACGAAAGCUAGGGUAGCGAAACAGAUUAGAGACCUGUGUAGUCCUAGCCGUAAACGAUGUCCGCUAGCUAUUCUCUCACGAAGUGCAUAAGCACUUGAUAAAUAUCAAAUACUACCAAUUUCAAAUAAAUACCAAUAUCCAAUACAUAUGUUUUGGAAAUUUGAUAUUUGAUAUUGGACAUUUGAAUUUACAAGCUUGUGCUUUUUGUGAGGGAGUGGUGUAAGCUAACGCGUUAAGCGGACCGCCUGGGGAGUACGGCCGCAAGGCUAAAACUCAAAGGAAUUGACGGGGACCCGCACAACCUGUGGAGCGUGUGGUUUAAUUCGAUACAAAGCGAAAAACCUUACCAGGGUUUGACAUCAUACCGUUUUAUACUUUUGGAAACAUUAGUAGAUCCGUAAGGAUGGUAUGACAGGUGCUGCAUGGCUGUCGUCAGCUCGUGCCGUGAGGUGUUCCCUUAAGUGGGGAAACGAGCGCAACCCCCAUGAAAUGUUAAAUAUUCAUUUCAGACUGCCCUGUUUUUACAGGGAGGAAGGAGGGGCAGAUGUCAAGUCAGCAUGGCCCUUAUACCCUGGGUUACACACACACUACAAUGGCGAAAAACAACGAGUUGCAAGCUGGUAACAGCAAGCUAAUCUCUCAAAUUUCGCCUCAGUUCAGAUUGAGGUCUGCAACCCGACCUCAUGAAGUCGGAAUAGGUAGUAAUCGCGGAUCAGCAUGCCGCGGUGAAUACGUUCUCGGGUCUUGUACACACCGCCCGUCAAGGCAGCAAAGUCAGGGGUGGAUGAAUACUCCUUUGGGGUAGAGUCCAAAUUUGGCGAUGAGGCUUAAGUCGUAACAAGGUAUCCCUUGCCGAAGCAGGGGAUGGAUCACCUCCUUU
RNAcentral lists this ribosomal RNA (1593 nucleotides) under Candidatus Levyibacteriota bacterium. Its description in RNAcentral is "bacterial SSU rRNA". It matches the Rfam family "Bacterial small subunit ribosomal RNA". The record is from RNAcentral. Lineage: Bacteria; Candidatus Levyibacteriota.